GGGCGGAAGGCAUCACUUUGUCCGGACUCUAAUUCAAAUUGUAUUCAUCCGAUCUUCACCAAACUUGGUCAGCAGUUGCAUCUAGUUGAUAUCUAGGCCAAGUUCGAAUAUGGGUCAUGCCGGGUCAAAAACUAGGUCAUAGGGUCAAUAAGUGCAUUUUCAACGGCGCCACUUUGUCCGGACUCUAAUUCAAAUUGUAUUCAUCCGAAACUUUUAAACAACUUUUUAUCCUGCGUCAAAGUGGUAUGGGGGUAUAAGUCACAUUCAGUGACAAAGCUCUAGUUCAAGUUGAAUUCACCAAACUUGGUCAGAGGUAGUAUAUAGAUUAUAUAUCAGUCAGGUCUGAUUGGAGACAUGCAACCGAUUAACACAUGCAAUAUUUUUAUGCAAUAUUUUUAUCCAGUUUUAUUUUGCGAUAUUUUCAUCGGGUUUAUUUUUUUCGCGAUUUUUGAAACGAGUUAUUUUUAACAACAUGUUUAUUGGUAAGUUUCAUUUUUCCUUCAAUCUAAUCAUGAUUUCCACAGGUACAUGAGUUUUUCACUGUGCUUGGGUACUAUAGAAAGGCAACUGUUUAUCAUUGUCAUCAACCUAAAAUCAAUUUUUAUACGCCCGUAUAAAAUACGGGACGUAUUAUGUGAAACCCCUUGGCGGGCGGCGGGCGGCGGGCGGCGGGCGGAAGGCAUCACUUUGUCCGGACUCUAAUUCAAAUUGUAUUCAUCCGAUCUUCACCAAACUUGGUCAGCAGUUGCAUCUAGUUGAUAUCUAGGCCAAGUUCGAAUAUGGGUCAUGCCGGGUCAAAAACUAGGUCAUAGGGUCAAUAAGUGCAUUUUCAAAGGGGCCACUUUGUCCGGACUCUAUUUCAAAUUGUAUUCAUCCGAUCUUCACCAAACUUGGUCAGCAGUUGCAUCUAGUUGAUAUCUAGGCCAAGUUCGAAUAUGGGUCAUGCCGGGUCAAAAACUAGGUCAUAGGGUCAAUUAGUGCAUUUUCAACGGCGCCACUUUGUCCGGACUCUAAUUCAAAUUGUAUUCAUCCGAUCUUCACCAAAUUUGGUCAGAAGUUGUGUCUAGAUGAUAUGUAGGUCAAGUUCAAAUAUGGGUCAUGCCGGGUCAAAAACUAGGUCACGAGGUUACUUAGUGCAUUUCAAGCAUUUAGCAUGGUGUCCGCUCUCUAAUUGAAGUAGUUUUCAUCUGAUCUUCACCUAAUUUGGUCAGAAGUUGUGUCUAGAUGAUAUGUAGGUCAAGUUCGAACAUGGGUCAUGCCGGGUCAAAAACGAGGUCACAUAGUGCAUUUCAAGCAUUAAGCAUGUUGUCCGCUCUUUAAUUGAAGUAGUUUUCAUCUGAUCUUCACCAAAUUUAGUCAGAUGUUACAUCUAAGUGAUAUCUAGGUCAAGUUCAAAUAUGGGUCAUGCCGGGUCAAUAACUAGGUCUUGAGGACACUUUCAAGCAUUGAGCAUGGUGUCCAAAACCUUAGAACGGGCGUAUCUUGUGACAGUUUGGCACUCUUGUUACAAUAUACAUUCUUCAGCUGACUGGUUCUUAGACACUUUGCUCUUUUAUAUUGUCAUGCUGUUCUGUAAAGUAUUUUCAAGCCGAUAAAUAAUAAGAAUUUUGCCUGCUCCUUUUGUGCCCUACUUAAUGAAGCACUUAACACAGCUUUGUUUUUUGGUAUCAUGUCAAUUAAAAUAACAGAUUGAUGUUUGAUUGUUGAUGAUAAACAUUACUUCCUUUUUCAAAUAACUAAACAAAAUAAUACAUUGAAGUCCUUCAAAACAAUAUGAACACUUAUC
This is a long non-coding RNA of Dreissena polymorpha, 1786 nucleotides long. RefSeq lists it as uncharacterized. The record is from RefSeq and is a predicted model, not a curated record. The transcript has 3 exons. NCBI's taxonomy places the organism in Eukaryota, Metazoa, Mollusca, Bivalvia, Myida, Dreissenidae.